This 238-nucleotide unclassified non-coding RNA is filed under the name Hevea brasiliensis (rubber tree). Lineage: Eukaryota; Viridiplantae; Streptophyta; Magnoliopsida; Malpighiales; Euphorbiaceae. The record is from RNAcentral.
ACCAAACCCAUCAAGCCAUUCACAAAUAAGUUGCAAUAGCAUAUUAUAUAACUCCAAAAUAUUAACAAAUCUAAACGUGAGUCAGCUUCCUAAAACAAAAACAAACCCCACUCCAUCUGACAAAUUUUGCUUCUCAUUAUAAACACAUAAAUGUAAUAUACUACACAGACUACAUUUUAUUGUAAAGAAUUAUAAGCAUAGCUUUUAGAUUAGAGAAGGUAAUUAAUCAAGAAUUGAG